AUUGAACGCUGGCGGCAUGCUUUACACAUGCAAGUCGAACGGCAGCGCGGGCUUCGGCCUGGCGGCGAGUGGCGAACGGGUGAGUAAUACAUCGGAACGUGCCCAGUAGUGGGGGAUAGCUCGGCGAAAGCCGGAUUAAUACCGCAUACGACCUGAGGGUGAAAGCGGGGGAUCUUCGGACCUCGCGCUAUUGGAGCGGCCGAUGGCAGAUUAGCUAGUUGGUGGGGUAAAGGCCUACCAAGGCGACGAUCUGUAGCUGGUCUGAGAGGACGACCAGCCACACUGGGACUGAGACACGGCCCAGACUCCUACGGGAGGCAGCAGUGGGGAAUUUUGGACAAUGGGCGAAAGCCUGAUCCAGCAAUGCCGCGUGCGUGAUGAAGGCCUUCGGGUUGUAAAGCACUUUUGGCGGGAACGAAAAGGACUGUGCCAAUACCACGGUUCGAUGACGGUACCCGCAGAAUAAGCACCGGCUAACUAUGUG
Molecule: ribosomal RNA, 484 nt
Filed under: uncultured bacterium
Lineage: Bacteria
Description: partial 16S ribosomal RNA
Rfam family: Bacterial small subunit ribosomal RNA
Source: RNAcentral